RNAcentral lists this ribosomal RNA (253 nucleotides) under uncultured bacterium. RNAcentral describes it as "partial 16S ribosomal RNA". It matches the Rfam family "Bacterial small subunit ribosomal RNA", at positions 524 to 776 of the family's 1533-position model. The record is from RNAcentral.
UACGAAGGGUGCAAGCGUUGUUCGGAUUUAUUGGGCGUAAAGCGCGCGUAGGCGGACCUGCAAGCCAGAUGUGAAAUCUCGGGGCUCAACCUCGAAACUGCGUCUGAAACUACAGGUCUAGAAUCUUGGAGGGGGUAGGGGAAUUUCGCAUGUAGGGGUAAAAUCCGUAGAUAUGCGAAGGAACACCAGAGGCGAAGGCGCCUGCCUGGACAAGUAUUGACGCUGAGGCGCGAAAGCGUGGGGAUCAAACGGG